UCUGGAAUGCAUUAUUUAAAUAUUCCACAUUUUUUGAGAAUUCAGAUUGCUUCCAAUUUUUCACUUUCAUAAAUAUCAAUAUCUUUAUGCAUUAUAUCUUUUUCUCUCCUUUUGGGUUAUCACUUUUGCAUGGGAUUACUGGGGCAAAAACAUGUUUCUGUUUCUAUGCCUCCUGGUAUGUAUUAACUCCUAACCUUUCAAACUUGCAUUAAAACUUAAAUCUGACAUUUUUCAGCUUUCCUGACUAAGGGGUGCUUCAACAUCAAAGCUCCUUAGGAUUUACUUCCUUUCUAAAGCAACGUCAAAAGGCUUUUGGUUUUAAGGAUCUAUGGGUGAAGAGAUAAUGCAGGAAGCCCGAUAUGCUGACAUGUGUGAGAGGCAUCAUUCACCACAGAAGUAGAAACAGCAUGGAUGGGUGAAAGUUGCAAGAAGAUCUGUUGUUUCUUGGUUCCAACUUUGCUAUCAGCACUGGACCAAGAAUGGAAAACAACUAAUAAACCCUGAAUGUGCAACAAGGACCACAGGAACCAGCCACGGGAGAGUAGACAGUCACCAAGGUCAGGGUCACGUCAGGACAGCCCUGCACGUGUGCGGCCUGAGUGUUCCCACUCUCCGGGUUCACAGUGCAACAGACAGUGCCAGCUCACCACAGCCUUGUUUCCCCCAACUGACCAAGACUGGUCAGAAUGUGUCAGAUUUUGCAUGAAAGACGCAACGUAUUUGCUGUAAAAUUUUAGGAAUUACUAGAAAACAGGGAAGCCCCAAAAGGUAACACAAUCAAGGCAAGGCAAAGGUUGAAGAGAGUACUGAAAAAUCUUUUCAAACUGUUUAGAGAGGGACUGGAGUAUCCAUGGAUUUUGGUAUCUGCAGGAGGUCCUGGAAUCAAUCCCCCAAGGAUACCAAGAGAUGACUGUACUAUGCUAGGUGCAAGAGGUGAAUAAGGCUUAGCUCCUAGCUUCAAGAAUCUUACAAUCUGGCAGAUGCGGAGGAAUACCAGAUGACAAGUACUACCGCUGGUGUCCAGAUCAAGACAGCAGGAGACAACAGAGAAAGGAUCACUCAAUGGGAAUGUGACAUUUGAACUUGACUUUGAAGAAUGAUUAUGACUUACUAGAAGGGGAUAAAUGAUACGGAAAGAGGAGGUUUUCCCUUGAACUCCCCAAACAACCCUAGCUCUCUUGAAUUCUUGUAACAUAAUUGUAGGAAAAUCUCUCCCCACUUAGUGAACUAUGAAAAAACAGAAACUUUUCUAAUGGCACUUUAUUAGGAAACUAGGAAGAGAAAUUCCCAUACGCAAUUAUGAAUAUAAAUAAAUUUACAGAUUUCUGAUUCUAAAUUGGACACUGGUUAGAGCUGGAUGGACUUGAAGGUCACGGUAGAGGGAGAUUCCUACAACCCCAGUUAUAUUCUAUGACCUUGGCCCUAUGUAGGGAAAAGGACUAAACAUCUGUCAGAGGAUGUAGAAAAAGGACAUGGCGGAAUCUCCAGUAUCUUAUAGAACUCCUCUAUGCUGCAAGCUAGCAUCAGCAAGCAUCGGCUCCAACCUUACCAGUAGAUAUGAUUCCUCUUUCCCAGAAACCCUUAUAUUAGCUACCUCUCCUAUUUGAAGUAAGCCCUCACCACUUCCUGUUUUAGAGCCAGAGCUCUCUUUUGAUGUAUGCUCCCCACCAACUGUCCUCACCAAGAUAAAUCUUCAAGUUCCAGCUCAUUUGCAGAGACGCCCAAUGACUUGAUCAAGCCAAUCUCAACUGAAGUUACCUUGUGUCUGCCUCACCUUUGUGAUAUUCUCAAUUCAGUACAGAUACAUCCAUUUUCCCAGGUUUUAUAAUGUCAUUUGCUCAAUAGCAUCUAGCAAAACAUUUACUGGGACAUAACACGUUCCAGGCAUGAUGUUAGGUACCAAAUAGCAACAACAAUAGCUACAGUGAUACCUCAAAUAAUUUUCAUUAAUGAAAGCUGGAAUUAUUCUCCUAUAAUUCAAUUUUCAUGUAUGCUAAUAAACUUUGUAAAUCUAAAGUUAUCUGGUCUCCUUAAUAGGUCAGGCUUCAGCUAUUGAAAUUGUAAGCUGUUGGACCAGGCUACAGUGCCUGUUUUUGCAUAGAAAGGACAGGGUGGUAGGGUUCCAGCCAGAACACAAAUCGCAACUUACCCACAUGUAUUUAAAACAUGAUACCAGUAGAAGAGACUUUAACAACUCUUAUAACAUGGUUUCUAUGGAAGACUCAUUCAGUUUCAGUUCAAUAUUUCCAGGCUAUAUCUGCCCAGCUGUAGUCCUAGCAGCACGAAUGAAGAGUCUACUUCAUGUUUUUCCCACCCAUCAGGCAUUGGGAGUAGGAGAGAAUGGUGAGUAUUUGCAAUGGCAUUAGAGGGAACUAAGUGGUCAAGAUGUAAAAUGUGGGUAGCAGAAGGGAAGUUAACUGUUUUGCAACACAACCUGGAAGAGGAAGAAAUAGUGCCAUAGCUGAGGUCCUGCAUUGCUACUUGUCAUUAGGGGCCAGGGAACUGAGUUGUGGGCCAGGGGAGGAGGAAGUUAAGUCAAAGCACCCUGCAAAUCUCCACUGGGCUCUAGAUAAGAGCUAUCCAGGCUGGGCACGGUGGCUCACGCCUGUAAUCCCAGCACUUUGGGAGGCCGAGGCGUGAGGAUCACAA
This 2649-nucleotide long non-coding RNA is filed under the name Homo sapiens (human). RNAcentral's name for it is "HSALNT0341623". Lineage: Eukaryota; Metazoa; Chordata; Mammalia; Primates; Hominidae. The record is from RNAcentral.